UCGAGAGUUUGAGCGCCGGAGGGAGCAGCUGACGGAGGAGGAGAGGGAGGCGCUGGAGCGCGUGGACGAGGAGGGCCGCUCCGUGCUGUCCCGCAUCCAGGCGGACAUCGCUCGUUACGAGAGCAGAGCACGCGGCCUGGAGCAGGAGAUCAACCAGCUGCUCGCCGCCCUCGCUGUACAGGACCCGCUCUCCUUCCUGCAGGCUCCCGUAAAUGAGAGACUCAGGAGGAGCUCCGUCUCCCAGGAGACUCAGUAUUACCCAGCCCCCGUCUCCCAUGGUCUGAACCUCGCAAAAGUCAUCUCAGUGGGCGGCGUCCAAACUAAGCUUCUGCCUUUUCUCGGUACGUCCCUCUGCCAUGACAAUCUUCGUUAGGCUCCGUUACAGACUCCAGAU
Non-coding RNA from Petromyzon marinus (sea lamprey), 394 nucleotides. The record is from RefSeq and is a predicted model, not a curated record. NCBI's taxonomy places the organism in Eukaryota, Metazoa, Chordata, Hyperoartia, Petromyzontiformes, Petromyzontidae.